CCAGUGAUGAAUUUUUUUCAUGCAGAGUUGUUAAAGUGAUGAUAUGAAAAAAAUUUUCCUCUAAGAAGUUCUGAAGGGA
This 79-nucleotide small nucleolar RNA is filed under the name Aplysia californica (California sea hare). RNAcentral's name for it is "small nucleolar RNA SNORD61". It matches the Rfam family "Small nucleolar RNA SNORD61". Rfam says of the family: U61 belongs to the C/D class of snoRNA which contain the C (UGAUGA) and D (CUGA) box motifs. Most of the members of the box C/D family function in directing site-specific 2'-O-methylation of substrate RNAs. Lineage: Eukaryota; Metazoa; Mollusca; Gastropoda; Aplysiida; Aplysiidae. The record is from RNAcentral.